This 465-nucleotide ribosomal RNA is filed under the name uncultured bacterium. RNAcentral's name for it is "partial 16S ribosomal RNA". It matches the Rfam family "Bacterial small subunit ribosomal RNA", at positions 339 to 795 of the family's 1533-position model. The record is from RNAcentral.
CUACGGGGUGCACCAGUGGGGAAUAUUGGACAAUGGGGGAAACCCUGAUCCGGCAAUGCCGCGUGUGUGAAGAAGGCCUGCGGGUUGUAAAGCACUUUCGGUUGGGAGGACUGCUUCUAGCACUAAUAUUGUUGGAAGUUGACGUUACCUUCAGAAGAAGCACCGGCUAACUCCGUGCCAGCAGCCGCGGUAAUACGGAGGGUGCAAACGCUAAUCGGAAUUACUGGGCGUAAAGCGCGCGUAGGCGGCUAGAUCAGUCGGGUGUGAAAGCCCCGGGCUUAACCUGGGAACUGCAUCCGAUACUGUCUAGCUUGAGUACAGGAGAGGAGAGUGGAAUUCCACAUGUAGCGGUGAAAUGCGUAGAUAUGUGGAGGAACACCAAUGGCGAAGGCAGCUCUCUGGCCUGAUACUGACGCUGAGGUGCGAAAGCGUGGGGAGCAAACAGGAUUAGAUACCCUUGUAGUC